CCCAAUUAUCAUCCUCAUUGAGUUUACCAUCUUCCUCGACAACAAUUGUGUAGAUCUUCAAGUGCCAGACUUUAAAAAUGACAAUGAACCUUAGCAUUGAUGGAAAGGUAACAAUUCUACACGAUCACGCUCUAGCCUUGGGGCACAACUUCACUUUCUUCCCAUGCCACCUUCCUUGGUGUCUCCCUCCUUUCUCUCAGCUUUGUCACCUCCCUCCAUCCUUCCUGAUCCUCCCUUCUUUCACCUCCCCGUGUUGCAUGUCCACCACUCUUGCAGCUCCGCUGGCGCAAUCAGCAAAAGACAUGUCUUGAACUUGAUAACAAAAAAAUCUGAAGGGUUGAAUAAAAAAUUAAACAUUACUUUUACCCUAUAUUUGAACGGAAGAAAAGGAAGUAGAUUCAAUUCACACAUAUGAGUGGGGGUUGCAACUGCACACAGUACCUACGCAAAUGCCUAAUCUGAACAACAACACACUUAUCAGUUACUCUUUGUUCCUUUGCAUUUACUCCUCAAUCACCCUGCAACAAGACAUGUCUCCUCAAUCACCCUGCAACAAGACAUGACAUCAUCUUCAUUCACCUCACGUUAAUAUUGAGGUCAGAAAACAUGAAGAACUUGAGACUUUGGAGUUGAUGGAAUCCAUUGUCUUGUUGUACAAACUUUAUUAUUUCACCAUAUUUCCUUCUACAUGUGCUCUUUCAAGAAGGCACGUGUAAUAAGAGCCGCAACAGAUGAUGUAAUGCCAGCUCUCGGAAUAGUUUACCAAAAUAGGUGUAAUGCCAGCUCACGAAACUGUUUACCAAAAUAAUUCAAGUUCACUAUCAUAAAUAAAUACAGUGAAUUUCUUCUCAUUUUGAAUCAUCUACUUCAUUUCAUCAGCAACUUGCUUUGCAGCCCGAUCUAAAGAAAAGAAGAACUGAGAUCUCCACCACAUGUGCAAUCUCUGGGACCUAAAAGUUUCAAAUAAUACUCCCUCCAUUCCAUAAUGUAGCGCAUAUAGAUUUUCUGAAAAUUCAAGUUUUACAAACUUUGACCAAGUUUAUAGAGAAAAUUAUUUAUAUUUAUAAUACCAAAUAUAUACAAUAUGAAGUACAUCUUGUGGUGCAUCUAAUGAUAUGUAUUUGGUAUUCUAGAUGAAUAUGUUUUUAUAUACAAACUUGGUCAAAGUUUGACUUUUCAGAUAAUCUAUAUGCGCUACAUUAUGGAACGGAUGAAGUAGAUAAUAAGGGCUUCUAGAAAAACCCAAAUAAAAUGCACAAAAAAUCAUGAGAAAUGGAUUAGUAGCUAAAGGCCUCAUCAUCGCAAAUUCAUCAUCCAUAUACGUACGUCAAGUUCUACAAUACUUGAUGGUUGUCAAUGGGAAAUCAGUUCAUCAUUUUUGGAUAAGUACUGUGUCAUUUGAUUUGUACCUAUUUCAUAGGAGUUGAUCAUAAAUGCGAAACUACCAUCUGUUGCCAUUUGUUGUGUUACUAUUUCAGAGCUGAUCAUAUAAACAGUUGUUGGACGCCUAUUUUUUAAAGGAUCCACUGUAGUCAUACAUCAGAUUAUUGUUAGCUUGUGAUUCACCAGAUCAAAACCACAAGGUCAAGCUAAGUAAGCUCCUUGAAGACCCAACAUGAACAGGGGUUCAGGAUUGUGGCACCUACUUUGUCCCUAUGUAAGAAGUGAACCUAUUAAAUAAAGUUCACGAAUUAACCUAUGAAGAUGAACAAUCCUGAAAUUUGAUUAUAUGAAUAUUUAUUUCUGAAACUCGAUUGAUGUCCAUUGUGUUGCCUCCCUCUCUUCGUAUCUCACGCAUGCUGAUCAACUUCGAAUCGGCAUACAUUACUUGCAUGUAUCAACCAAAAGAGCAACGCACUACAUGCAUAUCAAUCGACAGAGAACAAUGGAGGCCUUAUCAAAUUGACCAUGAACACAAUCAAACCGCGAUGGUAGCUCCUUCCUUUUCGGUAAACUAACGAUUUAUGGAACAUCAGAAUAGUUUAUAAAUUUUUAGACACUUCCAAUCACGAGUCCUUAAUUCUGUGUCAUCGUGAUGCUACCCCAGCGAAUAAUGUAGUACAAAUUGAUUCUUUUAGAUAUUAUCAAACCCAUGGCAUGCACUUGAUACAGGACGGCACUCACUGGUUCUUAAUAAAGUCCAUUACCCCUCUAAUCAAGCCCGCGCAGAGCAGCCUUGACAUGCUCGACUGGAGGUCUCUAUACGUGCGACGAUAUGCUUAGUUAACCGAUUCCUCCCUCUAAUACGGGCACCAAUUAAUGGAAACUUUUAGCUACAAAAUUCUAAAAUGCAAUGGUGUAAUGAGAGAAAACUUAAAAGCCCAACAUGGGAUCAGCUAAAUACUACACAAGUCAGUAAAUUGCUUCAAGUACACAAUCAGUAAAUUAAUACGUGCAACCAAAAACAUCUGAUGAAAUGGGAUAAAACUAUAUAAAUAACUUGGGAUCAGCUAAAUAGUCAAAAUUUAGGAUCCCAGGAAUCCUAAUAAUACUAUGAAUUGGCAGUGGACUAACAGGAAUGUAAGUGCAAACCUUUCUUUCUCUUUAAAUUCUUGAGGAUGGUAAAAUUUUGUUACAAGCGUUCAAGAUCCAGUUCUAACAUUUUGGGGUUGCUAAUGCAUUGCAAGUAAUGAAUGUUUAACUACAAUGUUAUCCAAAGUUCAUGUGACUUGAGUGAUAUCUCAUUUAGUUUUAUGUCAUACAAAUAACGUGCAAUUUUAAAAUUAUGUUUGUUGGCGCCCACAUGUUGCUAUCCCAAUCUAAUACAAUUACAACAGAACCAAUAGUGAAAUGAUGCAAAAGGAUUUACUUGAGUACCGGGACUACCGUAGGUAAAGAAAAACCAUUCUCUGACAAAACACAAAACUGAUAGGAAAUAAAAAUCAAAUCAAGCAGAACUGGGGACAAUACUAACUGCAAAUGGAAUACAUUCGGUGCUUCAACAUAUUUCCUGCUAAAGAAUUUAAAGAAAGAAACUUAUUACCAAUACCAUUGAUAUGUCAGCCAAAUGCUGAAAAAAUAGUAUUAUGUAAUACAAAAGUAUUAGAAGUGAUGGAAGAUGGAUUCAAAAACACCAAUGACAUGCACUCGUAUUUUUAAGUCUUCAUACUAUAGAGUUAUCUACCUGCAAGUUAUAUGGCCAUAAAUAAUCACAACAGUUGGAUAGCACCUACACAUGGGAUUAGAUAUUUAAUUCACAUAAUCAGUUCUUCUGCUUCCAUAAAUUCAGAAUUGCAUAAAAAAGUAUGUGUCUAUUGAGUAUAGAUAAUGAUUUGAAUUGUUGACACAUGGCCAAUGGAGCCGUCCACUUGCUAAGUGCUUUUCUAGCAUGGACGAUGUGCACAUGGUGCAAAGCUGGCUGAAGGAGUUGAUAGAUCAGAUCCCGGCAAGACUCGCACGUACUUAACGUGGGUUGCCCUUGCCUUGAUUGAUUCACACUCUGGCAAGGUUGCACACAUAUAGGAAGACUCGAUGGAUUCUUGCCGGCUAGAAACAAACACAAGCAAGCACGCAGGUGAUGCCGAUUUCUUUGCAACGAAUGCAUGUCGCUUGAAGCAGAGGUGGGAAAACAAUAUGUAUAUAGUGAUUUUACCUCAUAAAUUGUUUGGUGGCUCCACUCCAUAAGUAUGAAAUUCGUGAUGU
RNAcentral lists this long non-coding RNA (3642 nucleotides) under Triticum aestivum (bread wheat). RNAcentral describes it as "long non-coding RNA (TAES_LNC028143)". Lineage: Eukaryota; Viridiplantae; Streptophyta; Magnoliopsida; Poales; Poaceae. The record is from RNAcentral.